AUUGAACGCUGGCGGCAGGCCUAACACAUGCAAGUCGAACGAGUGGCGGACGGGUGAGUAAUUUCUGGGAAACUGCCCGAUGGAGGGGGCUAACUACUGGAAACGGUAGCUAAUACCGCAUACCAUCGGAUGUGCCCAGAUGGGAUUAGCUAGUAGGUGGGGUAACGGCUCACCUAGGCGACGAUCCCUAGCUGGUCUGAGAGGAUGACCAGCCACACUGGAACUGAGACACGGUCCAGACUCCUACGGGAGGCAGCAGUGGGGAAUAUUGGACAAUGGGCGCAAGCCUGAUGCAGCCAGGCCGCGUGUGUGAAGAAGGCCUUCGGGUUGUAAAGUACUUUCAGCGGGGAGGCGUUACUCGCAGAAGAAGCACCGGCUAACUCCGUGCCAGCAGCCGCGGUAAUAC
This 406-nucleotide ribosomal RNA is filed under the name uncultured bacterium. RNAcentral's name for it is "partial 16S ribosomal RNA". It matches the Rfam family "Bacterial small subunit ribosomal RNA", at positions 30 to 526 of the family's 1533-position model. The record is from RNAcentral.